This is a long non-coding RNA of Balaenoptera ricei (Rice's whale), 457 nucleotides long. RefSeq lists it as uncharacterized. Lineage: Eukaryota; Metazoa; Chordata; Mammalia; Artiodactyla; Balaenopteridae. The record is from RefSeq and is a predicted model, not a curated record. The transcript has 3 exons.
GCGGGUUCCGACAGAGUCCUUUAUUUUUCGGUGGAGCUGCUCUGUUUUCUUAAGUCUCUACUUGAUUGGAUAAGAUGGAAUUAAGAAGGAGGACCUGACCAUUGGCCCCUGAUUACAUGUCUUUGACAUCAAAAGUUUUUCUGGGCUUCCCUGCUGGCGCAGUGGUUGAGAAUCCGCUUGCCAAUGCAGGGGACACGGGUUCGAUCCCUGGUCCAGGAAGAUCCCACAUGCCACGGAGCAACUAAGCCCAUGCGCCGCAACUACUGAGCCUGUGCUCUAGAGCCCGUGAGCCACAACUUCUGAGCCCGUGUGCCACAACUACUGAAGCCCACACGCCUAGAGCCCGUGCUUCACAGCAAGAGAAGCCACCGCAAUGAGUAGCCCGCGCACCACAACGAAGAGUAGCCCCCGUUCACCGCAACUAGAGAAAGCCCACACGCAGCAACAAAGACCCAAC